This 239-nucleotide ribosomal RNA is filed under the name uncultured bacterium. RNAcentral describes it as "partial 16S ribosomal RNA". It matches the Rfam family "Bacterial small subunit ribosomal RNA", at positions 92 to 334 of the family's 1533-position model. The record is from RNAcentral.
CGAGCGGCGGACGGGUGAGUAAUGUAUGGGGAACUGCCCGAUGGAGGGGGAUAACUACUGGAAACGGUAGCUAAUACCGCAUAAUGUCUACGGACCAAAGCGGGGGACCUCCGGGCCUCGCGCCAUCAGAUGAACCCAUAUGGGAUUAGCUUGUAGGUAAGGUAACGGCUUACCUAGGCGACGAUCCCUAGCUGGUCUGAGAGGGUGAUCAGCCACACUGGGACUGAGACACGGCCCAG